RNAcentral lists this ribosomal RNA (495 nucleotides) under uncultured bacterium. RNAcentral describes it as "bacterial SSU rRNA". It matches the Rfam family "Bacterial small subunit ribosomal RNA", at positions 46 to 507 of the family's 1533-position model. The record is from RNAcentral.
GCUUAACACAUGCAAGUACGAACGAAAGAGGGAAAGAGCUUGCUUCUUUUGGAAUCGAGUGGCAAACGGGUGAGUAACACGUAAACAACCUGCCUUCAGGAUGGGGACAACAGACGGAAACGACUGCUAAUACCGAAUACGCUUGGGAGACCGCAUGAUCUACCAAGGAAAGGGUGGCCUCUACCUGUAAGCUAUCGCCUGAAGAGGGGUUUGCGUCUGAUUAGGCAGUUGGUGAGGUAACGGCCCACCAAACCUACGAUCAGUAGCCGGUCUGAGAGGAUGAACGGCCACACUGGAACUGAGACACGGUCCAGACUCCUACGGGAGGCAGCAGUGGGGAAUCUUCCGCAAUGGGCGAAAGCCUGACGGAGCAACGCCGCGUGAGUGAUGACGGCCUUCGGGUUGUAAAGCUCUGUGAUCGGGGACGAACGGUCCGUAAGCUAAUACCUUAUGGAAGUGACGGUACCCGAAUAGCAAGCCACGGCUAACUACGUG